CCUCCGAUAGCUCAAGUGGUAGAGCGCUGGGUGCCUAUAGGGAGCACCGUAGUAUAACUAGUUGGUUUUGACUCUUAGCCCAGAAAUGCUGGUUCGAGUCCAGCUCGGAGGA
Molecule: non-coding RNA, 112 nt
Organism: Stereum hirsutum FP-91666 SS1
Lineage: Eukaryota; Fungi; Basidiomycota; Agaricomycetes; Russulales; Stereaceae
Source: the annotation of a RefSeq genome assembly